Macaca mulatta (Rhesus monkey) is the source of this 327-nucleotide non-coding RNA. Lineage: Eukaryota; Metazoa; Chordata; Mammalia; Primates; Cercopithecidae. The record is from RefSeq and is a predicted model, not a curated record.
CGCCCGCCUCCCGUUCCCCCGACCGCGUCCUCACCGAAGCGGCUGUGGUCGUGGCGGGUGCCGUGCACCGUGCCGUUGGGGAAGAUCUCCAGGUGGAAGCCAGUGCGGCAGUAGAGCUGGCGGCGCCGCAGGAUCCCCUUCAGGAUAGUGGAGAACAUCUGGGAAGAUGGAGCGGCCCACUGCUGGAGCAGUAUCUUUGAAAACAGAGGAAACCAUCAUCUUGCUGCCCCUCCUGUUUUGCAAUUCUCACAUCUAUUCAGGACCUGUUUGUGUGUCUCUCCUUCCUGUUCAUUUUAGUAGGGCUGAAUAAAAGCACAUGAACUGCAA